GGAAAACUCACCAGGUCCAGACGUAGGCAUGAUUGACAGAUUGAUUGUUCUUUCUUGAUUCGGUGGGUGGUGGUGCUUGGCCGUUCUUAUUUGGUUGAGUGAUUUGUCUUGUUAAUUCCGAUAACGAACGAGACUCUGUCCUGCUAAAUAGUGUCUGCUUCUCUUUUGAUCAUACAAUUCUUCUUAGAGGAACUGAGCAAUAA
This 203-nucleotide ribosomal RNA is filed under the name uncultured eukaryote. RNAcentral describes it as "partial 18S ribosomal RNA". It matches the Rfam family "Eukaryotic small subunit ribosomal RNA", at positions 1208 to 1430 of the family's 1831-position model. The record is from RNAcentral.